CGGACAACCGCGCGCCGGGUCCCGGGUCCCGGCGUCCGCCCGGUGGCCCCCGUCGGCUGCGGGCGCGCUCGGCCUGCUUCCCGCCCCCCCCCCCGCCCUUCUCCUAACGCUCCGCGCGGGCCACUCGGGGGUGGUGCGGCGGCGACGGCGACUCCGGUCCGGGCUCUCUGACCUGUAACCUCCCGGGGACGCUGACGAGCAGCCGCGCUCAGCUCAAGAAUCACCCCCUCCAAGUUGUCUUCCUGGAUUUACUCGGCACCAAAGUUAGCCUUCUCUUUCCUGGGGCCCGGCAGCCUGGAAAGAGAAACGGUGGUGGUGGAUGAUCGCACCGAUCCCGAUUUGGAAGUUGUGUGGCAGGUGACUUAGAAGGAUAAGUGGAGCCCUGGGAUGGAGGCACCGACAUGUCUUCUGAACGAAGGGAGAGCGAAUAUGGCCGCGGCGACGGGAGCCACGUGCUGUAUUCCAACAGCCUGUGAAAAACUGAAUCCUUCAAAGAACGAUGUGAGUGAACUUGGAAGCAGAUGCUCUCGGUAGAGCCUUCAGAUGAGACUGCAACCCUGGCUGACACCUGACUGCAGCGCUUGCGAGAGACCUUGAAGCAGAAGCCGCAGAGAGUGAGAGUGCAGGCAGGGGAGAGGGAGAGACAGAGAGAGAGAGAAUCCCAAGCGGGUUCCACACUCAGCAUGGAGCCCAACACGGGGCUCGCUCUUACAACCCUGCUAUCACGACUUGAGCGGAAAUCGAGUUGGAUGCUCAACCGACUGAGCCACCCAGGCGUCUCUGAAUUGUACACUUUAAACAGGUGAAUUGCAUGGUAUGUGAAUUAUAUCUCAACAAAGUGGUUAAAAAAAUAAGCCGACGCAUUCACAGGGCUCGUCUUGCUUGUUUUCUCUCUGGGAUCACUGUCCUGUGUUGCCCAAUACCUAGCAUCUUGAAGACUGUUGCUUCACAUUGUCUUUUUUGUUGUUGUUGUUUCAUGCCGGAGGGUAAAUACAAAUCCUAUUACUCAUCGUAACCAGAAGUUAGCAGUCUCCCUAUUUUUUUUUAAUUGGGGAAACCGAGGCCCAACGCAGCUAACUGGCUUGCCAAAGUUCACGUUAGUGAGUGGCAGAGUCAGGACUAGCCGAGACUUCCGGAUAUCUAGUCUGAAGUCGGGACAGGAUUGCUUCCUGUCUGUCCAGCUUCUGGGGCAACUUGAUGGCAGACGGUUAAUUAAGCAAUCAUAGACAAUGUAAAUAUCUGUGACCUGAGGAUCCCCGAAAGGCCCGGAUCGGUUCUCUGCCUCCCCCUCAACCAGCAAGCAUUGAUUGCACACCUACGUGCGAGGCUUGUUUGGGAGAACUCCCUGGGGACAGAGAAGCAGGUGCCAUCAUCCCUGGCAACAAGGGGCUCACCAUCUGUUUGGGGAUGAAGGCUCCACUCUCUGUGGAACAUCUCUGUGGCUUGGGCCAUUUACCUAUUAUAUAAUAAAAUGGCUCACUUCACUUGCAGCCAAGACGAUCAGGAGGGGUUCAUGGUGUGCGGGGGCUCUUCUCAGGAAAGGUUUCCCAGAGGAGGAAGAAUUUGGGUCUCAAAACACAGGCGGCACCCCUGACUGGGUGAGGCACUGAAGGCAGGACAUUGUCUCCGCAGGGCGUGUGUGAAAACGCACACAAGGCCGCAGAGGUUCCUUGGCUGUAAGAAAAGCCUGAGUCUUGCAGUGGGAAGGCACAGGGGGAUAUUGUACCGGCCAGAGGGCAGACCUGGGGGGUUUGAUGGAAGUCCUGUGAUGAGGAAAUGACUAAUAAGGAAGCCCACUGAGAAAUCAAAUGCGCCCAGGGAGACAGGUUUUUAUAGGAAGACAAGUAUCUUCCGAGAUCACGAAAAACUGGGCUGUCCGCUUGAAGUUACAGGACAAAAUAUUCCAGACCCUCAUCAUUCAAUCACUCCCUGAGCUUGUAUUGAACACCUACCAUGUACCGGGAAUUGUGCUGGGGGCUGUGGGUUCACAGGUGCCUGAGACUCGUGGCUUGCCCUAGUUCAUGGUCUAGAGAGGAAGACACUUGGUUGAUGACAGAAGGCGUAUUAGGUGGUGGGUUUUCCAGAAAGUGUAAAUUCACCUGCUUCUUUCAUUUUUUUUCUCUCCCUUCCGGUGUCAUAACUUAGAGAAUUGUACUCCCCCCCAACCCCACCAAAAAAAAAAAAAAGAAGAAGAAAAAAAAAAACCCUAGCA
Leopardus geoffroyi (Geoffroy's cat) is the source of this 2212-nucleotide long non-coding RNA. RefSeq lists it as uncharacterized. The transcript has 6 exons. The record is from RefSeq and is a predicted model, not a curated record. Lineage: Eukaryota; Metazoa; Chordata; Mammalia; Carnivora; Felidae.